CGACUUUGCGUUCGUGUCGGAGUUGGGGGGGGGGGGGGGGGUCCUGACGUUUUAUCUUCCAGAAUCCCUCGCGUCUCCUGCGUCCUCGCGACGCCGUCAAAGAGGGGGAAGAGAGAUCAUCGGUGGAUCCAGGCAGUCACAAGAUCCCCAAGUUCGAUUUACACAGACGUCUCUCUCGGUUCGAACUCCACGCAAACCCUCUCGUGCGUCCCGUGAAGGAAGUUCAGAUGUCUGGGGCAUCAUCGGGGAAAUCUCAGACAGCGGACCUCCUGGUAACACCGCCAACACCUUUUUGGCCGUGCGUUUGAAUUUGCCUUGCUGCUACUACUACAGGGUUUGUUUGUAUCGGGGAGGGGGGAGGGGCUCCUAACGUUCUAUGUUACAGGACCCCAGCAGUUGUGCUUAGCGCAGACGUCUCGUUCAACUCCACGCAACUUCCUCAGUGCAACUCCACGUAACCUCGGUGCUACUCAACGCAACUUUGAUGCAACUCCCAACAGCAUCCAUCAGGGAGUGUCAAUGUCUCUUGCUACCCACAGCAGCAGAAAAACAUUAUAACUAUGAACUGGUCAUGAGCAGUGCUGCUAGGUAGCCACGAGUGUGAACACGGAGGUUGUGUUUAUCGUUGUCAAGGCUCGGCAGGUGGUGGUGGUGGUGAAUGUGAAACGCAAGCUGUCGCACAGAGCAAGCAGCCGCACUGCUGUACAACACCAACCCAGCCCUGGGUGGAAGGGGGGAGAAGCCGUACGGCCAUUACCAUCCACCAGGGAGUGUCAAUGACUCUUGUCCUUCCCGCACAGCAACUUUAUUUAUCAAUGGCAAUGAGCCUUGGCUGUGUAGCCCACACGUGGACAUACGGAGGUUGUGUUUAUCAUUGUCAAGGCUGAGCGGAUGAUGGCGGUGGUGGCGAUGGGCGGAAUGGGAGAUGCGCAACCCCCUGCAGCUGUUACAACCCAGUCCUGGACAGGAGGGGCCAGAGACAACCAACAGCGUCCAUCAGGGAGUGUCAAUGUCUCUCGCUACCCACAGCAGCAGCAGCAUUAUUUAUGAUCAAUGGCAAUGAGCCGUGCUCUGUAGCCACGCGUGAGCAUCAUGGAGGUUGUGUUUUAUUAUUGUCAAGGCUGAGCGGAUGGUGGUGGUGAUGGGGAAUCAGACACGCUGGCAUCCGUUCCUGCCACCCCCAACUUUGAGAGAGAUGUCUGGGCGAGUUCUCAACCCAGGUAACCGUGCGAGUCUCCGGCCCGAUCCUCGGCCUUACCAAACGAGCGAUGUGGAUGUUUUACUUGAGGUUAAACGCCGUUGCCAUUGGCAUUAUCAACGACUACUUCAGGCUUUGCGUUCGUAUGGGAGUUGGGGGGGGGGGGGGGGUCCUGACGUUUUAUCUUCCAGAAUCCCUCGUGUCUCCUGCGUCCUCGCGACGCCGGCAAAGAGCGGGAAGAGAGAUCAUCGGUGAAUCCAGGCAGUCGCAAGAUCCCCAAGUCCCAUUUACACAGACGUCUCUCUCGGUUUGAACUCUGGGACAUUCGUCGGGAAAACCCAGACAGCGGAUUUCCUGGUAACACCGCAACUCCUUUGGCCGUGCGUUGGAGUUUGUCUUGCUGCUACUUACUACAGGAUUUGUAGUUACCUCGAUGCAACUCUACGUAACCUCAGAACAUCGGAGGGGAAAAACCCCUAUUAUGUUUUGCUUUUCGUAAUCGGCCACGCGGGGAAAAGUUGUCAGGCAGGACUUUGUGAAAGUUUUAAACGAGGCAAAACUUGACACUUUUAUUAGCAAAUGACCACAGCGUCAAGUUUACGAAAUGUGACCUGAAGAUUUAAAUCGGUGUUUUCUUACGGCCGUCCUGAAUAUUUCCCUAAGCCAGCAAAGGGCGUUGAUGGUGACAUUGCUAGCAAGCAGUGUGCAGUGUUGGCCCUUGUGGAUCUGGGGUGGGGGAGGGGGGAGGGGCUCCUAACGUUCUAUGUUACAGGACCCCAGCAGUUGUGCCUAGCGCAGACGUCUCGUUCAACUCCACGCAACUUCCUCAGUGCAACUCCACACAACCUCGCUGCAACUCUACGUAACCUCAGAACGCCUUCACGCAACCUUGCUCCAACUCCUCGCAACUCCAGUGCAACUCCACGCGUUCUCUGUGCAACUCCCAAGCAACCUCGCGACAUCGUACAAGGGGGGAGAGCAACAGGGAAGGAAGCGCAAAUUGCUCCUCUGUCAUCGGCCAUUCCAGGCGGUUAACGGGACCCGGUAACACCGUCAACACUUUGACGUUCACAUUUGCCUCGCUGCUACUGCUGCUACAGGCCUUGUGUUUGUGUCAGGGGGAGUGGGGGGGGGGUCUCUAACGUUCUGUCUUCCAGAAUCCUCUCCCCGGUCUACUCUCGCUCAAACGUCAAACAUCUCGGUACAGCUCCAAACCAAGGAAGCCCCAACGGGGCAGAGAUCCCAGGCAGUGACGGGACAGGGAGCCAGGUCUGCGUCUCUGUCUCGGUUCAACUCCACGCGGCUUCGUGUUGCGCAAGCGGAGUGGAGGGCGUGCAGAUGUCUGGGGCGUCGUCGGGAGAAUCCAGGCCGCUAACGGGACACCUGGUAAAGUUAAAACGCCGUUGCCAUUCAAGUUAUCAACGACUACUUCAGGCUUUGCGUUCGUAUCGGAGUUGGGGGUGGGGGGGGAGUCCUGACGUUUUAUCUUCCAGAAUCCCUCGCGUCUCGUGCGUCCUCGCGACGCCGGCAAAGAGCGGGAAGAGAGAUCAUCGGUGAAUCCAGGCAGUCGCAAGAUCCCCAUGUCCCAUUUGCACAGACGUCUCUCUCGGUUCCAACUCCACGCAAACCCUCUCGUGCGUCCCGUGAAGGUGUCUGGGCUUCGUCGCGGAGAAUUCGGGCCGGUUUCCGUGGCACCUGGUAAACACCACAAAUCUUCUCUGCCCAAAUAUAGCGCUUUUUUAAAUCCUUUAUAUUAAGUUCACUUGCUUGCGCGCUUACGACCGUGCAAAUCUUUCGGUCGUUUUUUAACCCACUUCCCGUGAUCCAAUCGGGCUGACAUUUUGCACACAGACUCGUUGUGCGUGACAAUUUAUUUUCGUGAAAAAAAUUUCCGGAACUUUCCACUUUAUAGGAAAUGUAUUUUUUAUUAUAUUUAAUUACCAAUUGCUUAAUGGUGGCAGGCAAUCAUCUGACCCAUAGGUGGCAGCCAUCUCAAGCCAGCGGACGAGAGGACUCUAGCCGCCACGCAUAUAAAGGAUUUAUAGUGAAAAACUUUGUUUUUACGGGUUAAUUUUUAACACGUGAGUUUUUGUUAUUUUAUUUGUGUUCGUAUGUCGGGAGUUGACGGGGCGGGGAAGGGGGGGUGGGUGUUGUGUUAACGCCGUGUCUUGCAGACUCGCGUCUCCUGCGUGCUCACAGCAAGAACUGCAACGGGGUGGGGGGAAGAGCGAGAGAGUUGACAGAGUUGAUGGGCGAAUCCAGGCGGUUACAGGAGCCCAGGUCUCUUUUCACGCACGCAAACCCUCUCGUGUCUCCAUCGUUGCCUUGUGGAUGAUUGUAGUGGUGGAGGUGAUUGUGGUGGUGGUGAUAACCAGGGGGUGGUGAGUGGCUUGCCUCUGUAGGAGGCCGUGGCAUCGUUUAACAAGUAGCAGCAGCAGCAGCAGGGGGCUUUUUGCAACCACUCUACAUAAGAUGUUGGUUUUGUGCUAGAACUAGUGACGAAUUGGCACGUCUUGUUCACGCGACAAACCUUACCCAAUUGGCCGUGUCGGGUGGUGGCGGGUUUCAACGACACAUUUAAUAUAUUCACGAGAUCCAACCCAACAACAACAACAACUCUGUUACGUCUUCUUGGUUGUUUCGGUAAAGUCAUCACGUAGAAUGGAAAUAAUAAAAAUAAAACAUAAAAUAAUUCUCACGACAUUUCGGCCACAACGCAAGCAGCCGUCCUCAGGUGGAGAACAGGUCUGUCGAGAAGACAGUCUGAAUGCGUUGUGGCCGAAACGUCGUGAAUUAAUUAAUUGUAUUAUUAUUAUUUUAUUAUUCCUCUUCUACGUGAUGACUUUACCGAAAGAACCAAGAAGAUGAAUCCCUGCUGCAGUCACGAAAUCUUUAAAUCGAAAUUUAACUCUUGUUACGCUUUUACAAACGUUGCGUUGCCACAGAAUUAGCGUUCUCACGUCGUGAGUUGGGGCCGGGUAGGAGGAAGGGGGGUGGGGAGGGUUGCUGUGUUCACGCCGUGUCUUGCAGACUCCCUCGCGUCUCCUGCGUGCUCGCGGCAGCAGCAGCAGCAGCAGAGAGGGAUCGUCGGUGAACCCAGGCGGUGGCAGGAGCACCACCAAGUUUGAUUCACACGGACGGCGCUCUCGCUUGGAACUGCGCGCAAACCCUCGUGCGUGUGAGUGUGUGUGUCCGUCGUGCGCCGAUGUCUGGGCGUUGUCGUCGGAGAAUCCAGGCCGCUGUCUGGGGCACCUGGUGACUACGGAAUAAAUCCUCUGGCACGAAUCCAUUGCCUUUACAAACGUCGCCGUUUUUCUACGGAAUUUGUGUUCGUGUGUCGUGAGUCAGAGGUGCGGGACUGGGGGGGGGGGGGGUGUUAACGCCGUGUCUUGCAGACUCCCUCGUAUCUCGGCUUGCUCACAUCAACAGCGGCAAAGAGAGAGAUCAUCGGUGAAUCGAGGCGGUUACAGGAGCCCAAGUCUGUCUCACGCAGAUGUCUCUUGGGUUCGAACCCCAACGGGGCAGAGAUCCCAGGCAGUGAUGGGACACCUGGUAAAGUUAAAACGCCGUUGCCAUUGGCAUCGUCAACGACUACUUCAGGCUUUGCGUUCGUAUCGGAGUUGGGGGGGGGGGGGGGUCCUGACGUUUUAUCUUCCAGAAUCCCUCACGUCUCGUGCGUCCUCGCGACGCCGGCAAAGAGCGGGAAGAGAGAUCAUCGGUGAAUCCAGGCAGUCACAAGAUCCCCAAGUCCCAUUUACACAGACGUCUCUCUCGGUUCGAACUCCACGCAAACCCUCUCGUGCGUCCCGUGAAGGAAGUGGGAAUAUCAGGGCUUCGUCGGGAGAAUCCAGGCAGUUUCCAUGGAACCUGGUAACAGCGCAACUCUUUUGCCACCUGUUCAAGUUUGUUUUCACUACAGACGUUGCUUCUGCACUCAAAUUUCUGCUGGGGGUGGGUUGGGGGGGUGGGUGUCCUAACGGUUUAUCUUCCAGAAUCCUCUCCCUGGUCUACUCUCGCUCAAACAUCUCGGUACAGCUCCAACGAAAGGAAGCACCAACGGGGCAGAGAUCCCAGGCAGUGACGGGACAGGGAGCCAGGUCUGCGUCUUGAUGUCUCGGUUCAACUCCACGCGGCUUCGUGUUGUGCAAGCGGAGUGGAGGGCGUGCAGAUGUCUGGGGCGUCGUCGUGAGAACCCAGGCAGUGAACGCACCUCCUGGUAACAGCGCAGCUCCUGUGCCACCCGUCGCUUUCAAGAUUGUUGACUGGGAGUUGGGGCAGGGGGGGUUCCUCUAACGCUGCAACCUGCAGACUCCUCCACCCCGUCUACUCGCGCUCAAACUUGAGGAGGAGGAGGAGGCCCAAGGUCUGCGUCAGUCGGCGGCGAUUCCAGGCGGUUGUACCGGCACCUGGUAACACCACAAAUACUUUGGCGUCUGUUUGAAUUUGCCUCGCUACUACCGGAGUUGUGUUUGUAUCGGGGGAGUAGGUGGGGGGGUUCUCUAAUGUUCUGUCUUCCAGAAUCCUCUCCCUGGUCUACUCUCGCUCAAACGUCAAACAUCUCGGUACAGCUCCAAACCAAGGAAGCCCCAACGGGGCAGAGACCCCAGGCAGUGAUGGGACAGGGAGCCAGGUCUGCGUCUCGAUGUCUCGGUUCAACUGCAGAGGCAGGAAGUGCAAACGGUCGAAUCGGCGGUGGAUACGGGCAGUUAGCGGACCUCCUGGUAACACCGCAACUCCUUUGGCCGUGCGUUUGAAUUUGCCUUGCUGCUACUACUACAGGAUUUGUUUGUAUUGGGGGGGGGGGGGGUCUCUAACGUUCUGUCUUCCAGAAUCUUUCCUCGUGUCUACUCUGAAACAUCUCGGUACAGCUCCAAAGAAAGGAAGCCCCAACGGGGCAAAGACCGCCUGUCAAAAGGUUCUGUUCGCUGCUCGUGAAACGUUUAAAAAUGGAGGAUGAAUUUGCGGAGAUUUUUUUUUUAAUUGCUGGGAUGAAAUGUCUCUAUGAAACAAACUCUAUCAUCCCGAGUCAUCGCGGCCACUUCACGUCAGUUUGGCAACGUCAAAACCCCGGCACGCGUGAAGUCUGGAAGGCUUCGGGGAAAUUAACGAUUGGACAAUGAACGCUCGACAAAUUGUGGAGGAAUUUGAAGUGAAAUUUUCCAAACUCGACUUGCUUCCUCAAGUGCUUCUUGAAGGGAGGCAGCCCCCCCUCUUGGGGAAAGAUUUAACAAUUGACUUUUUUACGAACGUGGAAAUUGCGCACCGCUUAAGAGACUUGGAGGGGGCAAGGCUGGGGGAGCAUUGCAAAGCGACCAACAGCAACUCUUGUCGGCCUGAUCUUUUGCGCAGAUUGCCCGAGGGGAAGUGGGCAUUGUCCAGGAGACGUGUGAAGCAGAGGGUCGGGGACGCAGAUGCACCGGGCUCGCUCGCACAGGCGGUUCCUUGCCGGCGUGAAAUCAAUCGUCGGGUCACAAAUAUCACACUCAGUAACCCGUCGCAACGCUGCUACUGUCACAGCUCCACUGUCACCGCCUGCCACUGCUCUGCCACCGUCACCGCCCUCUGCUGCCCAGCCACGAUCACCGCUCUCCACUGCCCAGCCACCAUCACUGCCCAGCCAUGAUCACCGCUCUCCACUGCCCAGCCACCAUCACUGCCCAGCCACCAUCACCGCCUCUGCACUGCCCAGCCACCGUCACCGCCUCUGCACUGCCCAGCCACCAUCACCGCCUCUGCACUGCCCAGCCACCGUCACCGCCUCUGCACUGCCCAGCCAUCAUCACCGCCUCUGCACUGCCCAGCCAUCAUCACCGCCUCUGCACUGCCCAGCCACCAUCACCGCCUCUGCACUGCCCAGCCACCGUCACCGCCUCUGCACUGCCCAGCCACCAUCACCGCCUCUGCACUGCCCAGCCACCAUCACCGCCUCUGCACUGCUACUGAAUCGGCCACCGUCACUGCCCUCUGCUGCCCAGCCACACGAAGCUCACACAGCUGCUCCGUCUGCCCUGCACCCUCCUCCCCCGUGUGCGCGUUUUGUAGCCGCUCGCUGGCUGCUGGCGUUCUAUACCAAGCUCCACCGACCGGCCAUCGUCCUAUGUGUGGGUGGCGCAGGCUGUGCGGUAAAGCAAUCGUCCCACUCCUCCCACAUGCAAUUUUACCCCACGUGGUGCAAAGUGCUGUGUGCAUGGAAGAAGGCAUUGGGUGGGCGGGGGGGUUGUCCUUAACCAAAUGUCUUCCAGAAGUUUCUCCCCCCCCCCCCCAUCUCUUUCCCGCUGAGCAGAGCUUGCGUCUCCGUAGCCCAGGCGGUGAGACGUCUCGUGCCUCGUGGUCUGGGUAAACCAAAGGUCUCCCCCCACACACCCGUUUACGAAUCUGUCCGUUGCUGUGGCUUGCCAGAAAUCUUGAGGGGGGGUGGGGGGGGCCUUUCACGUUCUCUGUUACAGAACCUAGUCAAACGUCCAGCCCUACCUACCUACCCUGUACAACAAGCCCAGCCCUGCAGAAGGGGAAGAAGAGACACCACAGCAAGCCCCAUGACACCGCCACAACCAGGGAGUGCCCUUUGACUCGCCUCACUCUGCAUGCGUUAUUCUCAAUGGGUCAUGAGUUGGCUUCGCCAGCCAGGUGUGAACGUUGAGCUGUGUUUAUCGUUGUCAAGGCUGAGCGGGUGAUGGUGGCGAUGGGUGGAGAAUGUGAGGAACUCAACCCCCGACUGCUGUACAAAUCGGCACAAAGUAAACCAGCCGUGGAAGGAGCGGGGCGAGAGUCUUUGCCACCACCAGGGAGUGUCCUUAACUCUUCGUGCUUCACAGCCACACGGCAACAUUUAUAAUUGUUUAUCAAUGGUGAUGGGCCUUGGCUCUUUAGCCCACGAGUGUGAACACGGAGGUUGUGUUUAUCGUUGUCAAGGCUCAGCAGGUGGUGGUGGUGGUGAAUGUGAAACGCAAGCUGACGCACAGAGCAAGCAGCCGCACUGCUGUACAACACCAACCCAGCCCUGGGUGGCAGGGGGGAGAAGCCGUACGGCCAUUACCAUCCACCAGGGAGUGUCAAUGACUCUUGUCCUUCCCGCACAGCAACUUUAUUUAUCAAUGGCAAUGAGCCUUGGCUGUGUAGCCCACACGUGGACAUACGGAGGUUGUGUUUAUCGUUGUCAAGGCUGAGCGGAUGAUGGUGGUGGUGAUGGUGAAUCGCUGGCAUCCGUUCCUGCCACCCCCAACUUUUGAGAGAGAUGUCUGGGCGAGUUCUCAACCCAGGUAACCGUGUGAGUCUCCGGCCCGAUCCUCGGCCUUGCUCGCCAAACGAGCGACGUGGAUGUUUUACUUGAGGUUAAACGCCGUUGCCAUUGGCAUUAUCAACGACUACUUCAGGCUUUGCGUUCGUGUUGGGGGGGGGGGGGGGGGGGCCUGACGUUUUAUCUUCCAGAAUCCCUCGCGUCUCCUGCGUCCUCACGACGCCGGCAAAGAGCGGGAAGAGAGAUCAUCGGUGGAUCCAGGCAGUCGCAAGAUCCCCAAGUCCCAUUUACACAGACGUCUCUCUCGGUUCCAACUCCACGCAAACCCUCUCGUGCGUCCCGUGAAGGAAGUUCAGAUCUCUGGGGCAUCAUCGGGGAAAUCUCAGACAGCGGACCUCCUGGUAACACCGCCAACACCUUUUUGGCCGUGCGUUUGAAUUUGCCUUGCUGCUGCUACUACAGGAUUUGUUUGUAUCGGGGAGGGGGGGAGGGGGGAGGGGCUCCUAACGUUCUAUGUUACAGGACCCCAGCAGUUGUGCCUCGCGCAGACGUCUCGUUCAACUCCACGCAACUUCCUCAGUGCAACUCCACACAACCUCGCUGCAACUCCAGGCAACUCGGUUCAACUCCACGUAACCUCAGAACAUUUUCAUUCAACCUUGCUCCAACUCCUCACCUCCACACGUUCUCUGUCCAACUCCACGUUACCUCGCUGCAACUCUACGUAACCUCAGAACACCUUCACGCAACCUUGCUCCAACUCCUCGCAACUUCAGUGCAACUCCACGCGUUCUCUGUGCAACUCCCAAGCAACCUCGCGACAUCGUACAAGGGGGGAGAGCAACAGGGAAGGAAGCGCAAAUUGCUCCUCUGUCAUCGGCCAUUCCAGGCGGUUAACGGGACCCGGUAACACCGUCAACACUUUGACGUUCACAUUUGCCUCGCUGCUACUGCUGCUACAGGCCUUGUGUUUGUGUCAGUGGGAGUGGUGGGGAGGGGUCUCUAACGUUCUGUCUUCCAGAAUCCUCUCCCCGGUCUACUCUCGCUCAAACAUCUCUGUACAGCUCCAAACCAAGGAAGCCCCAACGGGGCAGAGACCCCAGGCAGUGACGGGACAGGGAGCCAGGUCUGCGUCUCGAUGUCUCGGUUCAACUCCACGCGGCUUCGUGUUGCGCAAGCGGAGUGGAGGGCGUGCAGAUGUCUGGGGAGUCGUCGGGAGAAUCCAGGCCGUUAACGGGACACCUGGUAAAGUUAAAACGCCGUUGCCAUUCGAAUUAUCAACGACUACUUCAGGCUUUGCGUUCGUAUCGGAGUUGGGGGGGGGGGGGUCCUGACGUUUUAUCUUCCAGAAUCCCUCGCGUCUCCUGCGUCCUCGCGACGCCGGCAAAGAGCGGGAAGAGAGAUCAACGGUGAAUCCAGGCAGUCGCAAGAUCCCCAAGUCCCAUUUACACAGACGUCUCUCUCGGUUCCAACUCCACGCAAACCCUCUCGUGCGUCCCGUGAAGGAAGUUCAGAUCUCUGGGGCAUCAUCGGGGAAAUCUCAGACAGCGGACCUCCUGGUAACACCGCCAACACCUUUUUGGCCGUGCGUUUGAAUUUGCCUUGCUGCUACUACUACAGGAUUUGUUUGUAUCGGGGAGGGGGGAGGGGCUCCUAACGUUCUAUGUUACAGGACCCCAGCAGUUGUGCCUAGCGCAGACGUCUCGUUCAACUCCACGCAACUUCCUCAGUGCAACUCCACGUAACCUCGGUGCAACUCUACGUAACCUCAGAACAAUUUCAUUCAACCUUGCUCCAACUCCUCGCAACCUCAGUGCAACUCCACGUGUUCUCUGUGCAACUCCCAAGCAACCUCGCGACAUCGUACAAGGGGGGAGAGCAACAGGGAAGGAAGCGCAAAUUGCUCCUCUGUCAUCGGCCAUUCCAGGCGGUUAACGGGACCCGGUAACACCGUCAACACUUUGACGUUCACAUUUGCCUCGCUGCUACUGCUGCUACAGGCCUUGUGUUUGUGGGGGGGGGGUGUCUCACGUUCUGUCUUCCAGAAUCCUCUCCCCGGUCUACUCUCGCUCAAACGUCAAACAUCUCGGUACAGCUCCAACGAAAGGAAGCCCCAACGGGGCAGAGAUCCCAGGCAGUGACGGGACAGGGAGCCAGGUCUGCGUCUCGAUGUCUCGGUUCAACUCCACGCGGCUUCGUGUUGCGCAAGCGGAGUGGAGGGCGUGCAGAUGUCUGGGGCGUCGUCGGGAGAAUCCAGGCCGUUAACGGGACACCUGGUAAAGUUAAAACGCCGUUGCCAUUGGCAUUAUCAACGACUACUUCAGGCUUUGCGUUCGUUGGGGGGGGGGGGGGGGGUCCUGACGUUUUAUCUUCCAGAAUCCCUCGCGUCUCCUGCGUCCUCACGACGCCGGCAAAGAGCGGGAAGAGAGAUCAUCGGUGGAUCCAGGCAGUCGCAAGAUCCCCAAGUCCCAUUUACACAGACGUCUCUCUCGGUUCCAACUCCACGCAAACUCUCUCGUGCGUCCCGUUAAGGAAGUUCAGAUGUCUGGGGCAUCAUCGGGGAAAUCUCAGACAGCGGACCUCCUGGUAACACCGCCAACACCUUUUUGGCCGUGCGUUUGAAUUUGCCUUGCUGCUGCUACUACAGGAUUUGUUUGUAUCGGGGAGGGGGGGAGGGGGGAGGGGCUCCUAACGUUCUAUGUUACAGGACCCCAGCAGUUGUGCCUCGCGCAGACGUCUCGUUCAACUCCACGCAACUUCCUCAGUGCAACUCCACACAACCUCGCUGCAACUCCAGGCAACUCGGUUCAACUCCACGUAACCUCAGAACAUUUUCAUUCAACCUUGCUCCAACUCCUCACCUCCACACGUUCUCUGUCCAACUCCACGUUACCUCGCUGCAACUCUACGUAACCUCAGAACACCUUCACGCAACCUUGCUCCAACUCCUCGCAACUUCAGUGCAACUCCACGCGUUCUCUGUGCAACUCCCAAGCAACCUCGCGACAUCGUACAAGGGGGGAGAGCAACAGGGAAGGAAGCGCAAAUUGCUCCUCUGUCAUCGGCCAUUCCAGGCGGUUAACGGGACCCGGUAACACCGUCAACACUUUGACGUUCACAUUUGCCUCGCUGCUACUGCUGCUACAGGCCUUGUGUUUGUGUCAGUGGGAGUGGUGGGGAGGGGUCUCUAACGUUCUGUCUUCCAGAAUCCUCUCCCCGGUCUACUCUCGCUCAAACAUCUCUGUACAGCUCCAAACCAAGGAAGCCCCAACGGGGCAGAGACCCCAGGCAGUGACGGGACAGGGAGCCAGGUCUGCGUCUCGAUGUCUCGGUUCAACUCCACGCGGCUUCGUGUUGCGCAAGCGGAGUGGAGGGCGUGCAGAUGUCUGGGGCGUCGUCGGGAGAAUCCAGGCCGUUAACGGGACACCUGGUAAAGUUAAAACGCCGUUGCCAUUCGAAUUAUCAACGACUACUUCAGGCUUUGCGUUCGUAUCGGAGUUGGGGGGGGGGGGGUCCUGACGUUUUAUCUUCCAGAAUCCCUCGCGUCUCCUGCGUCCUCGCGACGCCGGCAAAGAGCGGGAAGAGAGAUCAACGGUGAAUCCAGGCAGUCGCAAGAUCCCCAAGUCCCAUUUACACAGACGUCUCUCUCGGUUCCAACUCCACGCAAACCCUCUCGUGCGUCCCGUGAAGGAAGUUCAGAUCUCUGGGGCAUCAUCGGGGAAAUCUCAGACAGCGGACCUCCUGGUAACACCGCCAACACCUUUUUGGCCGUGCGUUUGAAUUUGCCUUGCUGCUACUACUACAGGAUUUGUUUGUAUCGGGUAGGGGGGAGGGGCUCCUAACGUUCUAUGUUACAGGACCCCAGCAGUUGUGCCUAGCGCAGACGUCUCGUUCAACUCCACGCAACUUCCUCAGUGCAACUCCACGUAACCUCGGUGCAACUCUACGUAACCUCAGAACAAUUUCAUUCAACCUUGCUCCAACUCCUCGCAACCUCAGUGCAACUCCACGUGUUCUCUGUGCAACUCCCAAGCAACCUCGCGACAUCGUACAAGGGGGGAGAGCAACAGGGAAGGAAGCGCAAAUUGCUCCUCUGUCAUCGGCCAUUCCAGGCGGUUAACGGGACCCGGUAACACCGUCAACACUUUGACGUUCACAUUUGCCUCGCUGCUACUGCUGCUACAGGCCUUGUGUUUGUGGGGGGGGGGUGUCUCACGUUCUGUCUUCCAGAAUCCUCUCCCCGGUCUACUCUCGCUCAAACGUCAAACAUCUCGGUACAGCUCCAACGAAAGGAAGCCCCAACGGGGCAGAGAUCCCAGGCAGUGACGGGACAGGGAGCCAGGUCUGCGUCUCGAUGUCUCGGUUCAACUCCACGCGGCUUCGUGUUGCGCAAGCGGAGUGGAGGGCGUGCAGAUGUCUGGGGCGUCGUCGGGAGAAUCCAGGCCGUUAACGGGACACCUGGUAAAGUUAAAACGCCGUUGUCAUUCGAAUUAUCAACGACUACUUCAGGCUUUGCGUUCGUAUCGGAUUGGGGGGGGGGGGGGUCCUGACGUUUUAUCUUCCAGAAUCCCUCGCGUCUCCUGCGUCCUCGCGAUGCCGGCAAAGAAGAGAUCAUCGGUGAAUUCAGGCAGUCGCAAGAUCCCCAAGUCCCAUUUACACAGACGUCUCUCUCGGUUCCAACUCCACGCAAACCCUCUCGUGCGUCCCGUAAAGGUGUCUGGGCUUCGUCGCGGAGAAUUCGGGCCGGUUUCCGUGGCACCUGGUAAACACCAAAUCUUCUCUGCCCAAAUCUAAUGCUUUUUUAAAUCCUUUAUAUUAAGUUAACUUGCUUGCGCGCUUACGACCGUGCAAAUAUUUCGGUCGUUUUUUAACCCACUUCCCGUGAUCCAAUCGAGCUGACAUUUUGCACACAGACUCGUUGUGCGUGACAAUUAAUGUUCGUGAAAAAAAUUUCCGUAAUUUUACACUUUUUAGGGAAAAAUAUUUUUAUUAUUUAAUUACCAAUUGCUUAAUGGUGGCAGGCAAUCAUCUGACCCAUAGGUGGCAGCCAUCUCAAGCCAGAGGACGAGAGGACUCUAGCCGCCACGCAUAUAAAGGAUUUAUAGUGAAAAACUUUGUUUUUACGGGUUAAUUUUUCACACGUGAGUUUUUGUUAUUUUAUUUGUGUUCGUAUGUCGGGAGUUGACGGGGCGGGGAAGGGGGGGGUGGGUGUUGUGUUAACGCCGUGUCUUGCAGACUCGCGUCUCCUGCGUGCUCACAGCAAGAACUGCAACGGGGUGGGGGGGGGAAGAGCGAGAGAGUUGACAGAGUUGAUGGGCGAAUCCAGGCGGUUACAGGAGCCCAGGUCUCUUUUCACGCACGCAAACCCUCUCGUGUCUCCAUCGUUGCCUUGUGGAUGAUUGUAGUGGUGGAGGUGAUUGUGGUGGUGGUGAUAACCAGGGGGUGGUGAGUGGCUUGCCUCUGUAGGAGGCCGUGGCAUCGUUUAACAAGUAGCAGUAGCAGCAGCAGGGGGCUUUUUGCGACUAAUCUACAUAAGAUGUUGUUUUUGUGCUAGAACUAGUGACGAAUUGGCACGUUUUGUUCACGCGACAAACCUUACCCAAUUGGCCGUGUCGGGUGGUGGCGGGUUUCAACGACACAUUUAAUAUAUUCACGCGAUCCAACACAAAAACAACAACAACUCUGUUACGCUUUUACAAACGCUGCGUUGCCACAGAAUUAGCGUUCUCACGUCGUGAGUUGGGGCUGGGUAGGAGGAAGGGGGGUGGGGAGGGUUGCUGUGUCCACGCCGUGUCUUGCAGACUCCCUCGCGUCUCCUGCGUGCUCGCGACGGCAGCAGCAGCAGCAGAGAGAGGGAUCGUCGGUGAACCCAGGCGGUGGCAGGAGCACCACCAAGUUUGAUUCACACGGACGUCGCUCUCGCUUGGAACUGCGCGCAAACCCUCGUGCGUGUGAGUGUGUGUGUGUCCGUCGUGCGCCGAUGUCUGGGCGUUGUCGUCGGAGAAUCCAGGCCGCUGUCUGGGGCACCUGGUGACUACGGAAUAAAUCCUCUGGCACGAA
Molecule: long non-coding RNA, 14495 nt
Organism: Lethenteron reissneri (Far Eastern brook lamprey)
Lineage: Eukaryota; Metazoa; Chordata; Hyperoartia; Petromyzontiformes; Petromyzontidae
Source: RefSeq, a predicted model, not a curated record